Molecule: ribosomal RNA, 506 nt
Filed under: uncultured bacterium
Lineage: Bacteria
Description: partial 16S ribosomal RNA
Rfam family: Bacterial small subunit ribosomal RNA
Source: RNAcentral
AGUGAACGCUGGCGGUAGGCCUAACACAUGCAAGUCGAACGGCAGCACAGGAGAGCUUGCUUUCUGGGUGGCGAGUGGCGGAGGGGUGAGGAAUACAUCGGAAUCUACUCUGUCGUGGGGGAUAACGUAGGGAAACUUACGCUAAUACCGCAUACGACCUACGGGUGAAAGGAGGGGACCUUCGGGCCUUGCGCGAUUGAAUGAGCCGAUGUCGGAUUAGCUAGUUGGGGGGGUAAAGGCCCACCAAGGCGACGAUCCGUAGCGGGUCUGAGAGGAUGAUCAGCCACACUGGAACUGAGAAACGGUCCAGACUCCUACGGGAGGCAGCAGUGGGGAAUAUUGGACAAUGGGCGCAAGCCUGAUCCAGCCAUCCCGCGUGGGUGAAGAAGGCCUUCGGGUUGUAAAGCCCUUUUGUUGGGAAAGAAAUCCAGCUGGCUAAUACCCGGUUGGGAUGACGGUACCCAAAGAAUAAGCACCGGCUAACUUCGUGCCAGCAGCCGCCGUAA